Molecule: ribosomal RNA, 617 nt
Filed under: Macracetabulum albeolae
Lineage: Eukaryota; Metazoa; Platyhelminthes; Trematoda; Plagiorchiida; Psilostomidae
Description: partial large subunit ribosomal RNA
Rfam family: Eukaryotic large subunit ribosomal RNA
Source: RNAcentral
AAGCCCAGCACCGAAGCCUGAGGUCGUUUGGCCUCUAGGCAAUGUGGUGUUCAGGUCAGCUCGCGGAGGUACUGCUCCACCCUAAGUCCUAUAAUGAGUAAGGUUACUCGGACGUGGCCCACAGAGGGUGAAAGGCCCGUGGGGGUGGAGACUCAGAUUGGCCAGUAUCUCCCUGAGUGGACCUUGGAGUCGGGUUGUUUGUGAAUGCAGCCCAAAGUGGGUGGUAAACUCCAUCCAAGGCUAAAUACUAACACGAGUCCGAUAGCGAACAAGUACCGUGAGGGAAAGUUGAAAAGUACUUUGAAGAGAGAGUAAACAGUGCGUGAAACCGCUCAGAGGUAAACGGGUGGAGUUGAACUGCAAGCUCUGAGAAUUCAACUGGUGAGUAUGGCAUGAGCUGGGUAUAUUGGUUGACGGUUCGGGUCUGCUCAGCUGCAGGUCCUCGCCUUUUGGUGGGGAUGCGCGAAUCACUUGCCAAGUGUUGUGCGCCCGGACUGUAUCGGACCUGCUUGCCAGUGCACUUUCUCAGAGUAAUCACCACGACCGGCGUUGCUGUCUGGCUGUUGUAGUUAAACCGGCCUCGUAGAGUCCUUGUGGCUUUGCUUGGCUCGGGAUGG